Molecule: ribosomal RNA, 254 nt
Filed under: uncultured bacterium
Lineage: Bacteria
Description: partial 16S ribosomal RNA
Rfam family: Bacterial small subunit ribosomal RNA
Source: RNAcentral
UACGUAGGGGGCGAGCGUUGUCCGGAUUUAUUGGGCGUAAAGAGCUCGUAGGCGGUUCGAUAAGUCGGACGUGAAAUCUCCACGCUCAACGUGGAGGGGCCGUUCGAUACUGUCGUGACUCGAGUCCGGAAGGGGCGAGUGGAAUUCCUGGUGUAGCGGUGAAAUGCGCAGAUAUCAGGAGGAACACCAAUGGCGAAGGCAGCUCGCUGGGACGGUACUGACGCUGAGGAGCGAAAGCAUGGGGAGCGAACAGG